RNAcentral lists this ribosomal RNA (1343 nucleotides) under uncultured bacterium. RNAcentral's name for it is "16S ribosomal RNA". It matches the Rfam family "Bacterial small subunit ribosomal RNA", at positions 28 to 1378 of the family's 1533-position model. The record is from RNAcentral.
GACGAACGCUGGCGGCGUGCUUAACACAUGCAAGUCGAACGGAAAGGCCCUGCUUUUGUGGGGUGCUCGAGUGGCGAACGGGUGAGUAACACGUGAGUAACCUGCCCUUGACUUUGGGAUAACUUCAGGAAACUGGGGCUAAUACCGGAUAGGAGCUCCUGCUGCAUGGUGGGGGUUGGAAAGUUUCGGCGGUUGGGGAUGGACUCGCGGCUUAUCAGCUUGUUGGUGGGGUAGUGGCUUACCAAGGCUUUGACGGGUAGCCGGCCUGAGAGGGUGACCGGCCACAUUGGGACUGAGAUACGGCCCAGACUCCUACGGGAGGCAGCAGUGGGGAAUAUUGCACAAUGGGCGGAAGCCUGAUGCAGCAACGCCGCGUGCGGGAUGACGGCCUUCGGGUUGUAAACCGCUUUCGCCUGUGACGAAGCGUGAGUGACGGUAAUGGGUAAAGAAGCACCGGCUAACUACGUGCCAGCAGCCGCGGUGAUACGUAGGGUGCGAGCGUUGUCCGGAUUUAUUGGGCGUAAAGGGCUCGUAGGUGGUUGAUCGCGUCGGAAGUGUAAUCUUGGGGCUUAACCCUGAGCGUGCUUUCGAUACGGGUUGACUUGAGGAAGGUAGGGGAGAAUGGAAUUCCUGGUGGAGCGGUGGAAUGCGCAGAUAUCAGGAGGAACACCAGUGGCGAAGGCGGUUCUCUGGGCCUUUCCUGACGCUGAGGAGCGAAAGCGUGGGGAGCGAACAGGCUUAGAUACCCUGGUAGUCCACGCUGUAAACGGUGGGUACUAGGUGUGGGGUCCAUUCCACGGGUUCCGUGCCGUAGCUAACGCUUUAAGUACCCCGCCUGGGGAGUACGGCCGCAAGGCUAAAACUCAAAGGAAUUGACGGGGCCCCGCACAAGCGGCGGAGCAUGCGGAUUAAUUCGAUGCAACGCGUAGAACCUUACCUGGGUUUGACAUGGAUCGGGAGUGCUCAGAGAUGGGUGUGCCUCUUUUGGGGUCGGUUCACAGGUGGUGCAUGGCUGUCGUCAGCUCGUGUCGUGAGAUGUUGGGUUAAGUCCCGCAACGAGCGCAACCCUUGUUCACUGUUGCCAGCACGUUAUGGUGGGGACUCAGUGGAGACCGCCGGGGUCAACUCGGAGGAAGGUGGGGAUAACGUCAAGUCAUCAUGCCCCUUAUGUCCAGGGCUUCACGCAUGCUACAAUGGCUGGUACAGAGAGUGGCGAGCCUGUGAGGGUGAGCGAAUCUCGGAAAGCCGGUCUCAGUUCGGAUUGGGGUCUGCAACUCGACCUCAUGAAGUCGGAGUCGCUAGUAAUCGCAGAUCAGCAACGCUGCGGUGAAUACGUUCCCGGG